UGUCUCCUACGGGAGGCAGCAGUGGGGAAUAUUGCACAAUGGGGGAAACCCUGAUGCAGCGACGCCGCGUGAGUGAAGAAGUAUUUCGGUAUGUAAAGCUCUAUCAGCAGGGAAGAUAAUGACGGUACCUGAGUAAGAAGCCCCGGCUAACUACGUGCCAGCAGCCGCGGUAAUACGUAGGGGGCAAGCGUUAUCCGGAUUUACUGGGUGUAAAGGGAGCGUAGACGGCCGUGCAAGUCUGAUGUGAAAACCCGGGGCUCAACCCCGGGACUGCAUUGGAAACUGCAUGGCUGGAGUGUCGGAGG
Molecule: ribosomal RNA, 305 nt
Filed under: uncultured bacterium
Lineage: Bacteria
Description: bacterial SSU rRNA
Rfam family: Bacterial small subunit ribosomal RNA
Source: RNAcentral